AACGCACAUUGCGCCCCUCGUUACAGGGGGGCAUGCCUGUCUGAGUGUCCUUUUAAACCAUGGACGUUUUGUCUGUCUUGGGGGUCGCCUCGCCCGGCGUCCCCUCGAAGCGAUUGCCGUCGAGCGGAUGAGAUCCAUUGGGACCGGCCGCUUUGUCGAGGCUUCUCUAUCCGACGGACCUCAGAUCAGGUAGGACCACCGCCUGAACUUAA
Molecule: unclassified non-coding RNA, 212 nt
Filed under: uncultured fungus
Lineage: Eukaryota; Fungi
Description: sequence contains ITS2
Source: RNAcentral